CGGUCAUGAUGGGGGCACUGUCUCUACAUGCUCUUGAACCAACCCCAGGCUUCAAAUAGGGAUUCUGAGUCUAUCUGCUUAAAAUUGGCAAUCAGGUUCCUCAUGUG
This is a small nucleolar RNA of Zingiber officinale, 107 nucleotides long. The record is from RefSeq and is a predicted model, not a curated record. NCBI's taxonomy places the organism in Eukaryota, Viridiplantae, Streptophyta, Magnoliopsida, Zingiberales, Zingiberaceae.